This 474-nucleotide ribosomal RNA is filed under the name uncultured bacterium. RNAcentral describes it as "bacterial SSU rRNA". It matches the Rfam family "Bacterial small subunit ribosomal RNA", at positions 326 to 793 of the family's 1533-position model. The record is from RNAcentral.
ACGCUAUCACUCCUACGGGAGGCAGCAGUGGGGAAUUUUGGACAAUGGGCGCAAGCCUGAUCCAGCAAUGCCGCGUGCAGGAAGAAGGCCUUCGGGUUGUAAACUGCUUUUGUCAGGGAAGAAAUCUUCUGGGUUAAUACCUCGGGAGGAUGACGGUACCUGAAGAAUAAGCACCGGCUAACUACGUGCCAGCAGCCGCGGUAAUACGUAGGGUGCGAGCGUUAAUCGGAAUUACUGGGCGUAAAGCGUGCGCAGGCGGCUUUGCAAGACAGAUGUGAAAUCCCCGGGCUCAACCUGGGAACUGCAUUUGUGACUGCAAGGCUAGAGUUACGGCAGAGGGGAUGGAAUUCCGCGUGUAGCAGUGAAAUGCGUAGAUAUGCGGAGGAACACCGAUGGCGAAGGCAAUCCCCUGGGCCUGUACUGACGCUCAUGCACGAAAGCGUGGGGAGCAAACAGGAUUAGAUACCCUGGUAG